This 492-nucleotide ribosomal RNA is filed under the name uncultured bacterium. RNAcentral's name for it is "partial 16S ribosomal RNA". It matches the Rfam family "Bacterial small subunit ribosomal RNA", at positions 29 to 507 of the family's 1533-position model. The record is from RNAcentral.
AGUGAACGCUGGCGGUAGGCCUAACACAUGCAAGUCGAACGGCAGCACAGUAAGAGCUUGCUCUUACGGGUGGCGAGUGGCGGACGGGUGAGGAAUACAUCGGAAUCUACUUUUUCGUGGGGGAUAACGUAGGGAAACUUACGCUAAUACCGCAUACGACCUACGGGUGAAAGCAGGGGAUCUUCGGACCUUGCGCGAUUGAAUGAGCCGAUGUCGGAUUAGCUAGUUGGCGGGGUAAAGGCCCACCAAGGCGACGAUCCGUAGCUGGUCAGAGAGGAUGAUCAGCCACACUGGAACUGAGACACGGUCCAGACUCCUACGGGAGGCAGCAGUGGGGAAUAUUGGACAAUGGGCGCAAGCCUGAUCCAGCCAUACUGCGUGGGUGAAGAAGGCCUUCGGGUUGUAAAGCCCUUUUGUUGGGAAAGAAAAGCAGCAGGUUAAUACCCCGCUGUUCUGACGGUACCCAAAGAAUAAGCACCGGCUAACUUCGUG